This 433-nucleotide ribosomal RNA is filed under the name uncultured bacterium. RNAcentral's name for it is "partial 16S ribosomal RNA". It matches the Rfam family "Bacterial small subunit ribosomal RNA", at positions 29 to 507 of the family's 1533-position model. The record is from RNAcentral.
AACGAACGCUGGCGGCAUGCCUAACACAUGCAAGUCGAACGAGACCUUCGGGUCUAGUGGCGCACGGGUGCGUAACGCGUGGGAACCUGCCCUUAGGUUCAGAAUAACUCCCCGAAAGGGGUGCUAAUACCGGAUAAUGUCUUCGGACCAAAGAUUUAUCGCCUUUGGAUGGGCCCGCGUUGGAUUAGCUAGUUGGUAGGGUAAAAGCCUACCAAGGCGACGAUCCAUAGCUGGUCUGAGAGGAUGAUCAGCCACACUGGGACUGAGACACGGCCCAGACUCCUACGGGAGGCAGCAGUGGGGAAUAUUGGACAAUGGGCGAAAGCCUGACCCAGCAAUGCCGCGUGAGUGAUGAAGGCCUUAGGGUUGUAAAGCUCUUUUACCCGGGAUGAUAAUGACAGUACCGGGAGAAUAAGCUCCGGCUAACUCCGUG